This 397-nucleotide ribosomal RNA is filed under the name uncultured bacterium. RNAcentral describes it as "bacterial SSU rRNA". It matches the Rfam family "Bacterial small subunit ribosomal RNA", at positions 521 to 916 of the family's 1533-position model. The record is from RNAcentral.
UAAUACGGAGGGUGCGAGCGUUAAUCGGAAUUACUGGGCGUAAAGGGUGCGUAGGUUGUUUGAUAAGUUAGAUGUGAAAGUCCUGGGCUUAACCUGGGGACUGCAUCUAAGACUGUUAGACUUGAGUAUAGGAGAGGGUAGUGGAAUUUCCGGUGUAGCGGUGAAAUGCGUAGAGAUCGGAAGGAACACCAGUGGCGAAGGCGGCUACCUGGCCUGAUACUGACACUGAGGCACGAAAGCGUGGGGAGCAAACAGGAUUAGAUACCCUGGUAGUCCACGCUGUAAACGAUGUCAACUAGCUGUUGGUCAUAUUAAUAUGAUAAGUGGCGCAGCAAACGCGAUAAGUUGACCGCCUGGGGAGUACGGUCGCAAGAUUAAAACUCAAAUGAAUUGACGG